Molecule: ribosomal RNA, 555 nt
Filed under: Trichoderma harzianum
Lineage: Eukaryota; Fungi; Ascomycota; Sordariomycetes; Hypocreales; Hypocreaceae
Description: eukaryotic LSU rRNA
Rfam family: 5.8S ribosomal RNA (bases 165-318)
Source: RNAcentral
CCAAACUGUUGCCUCGGCGGGAUCUCUGCCCCGGGUGCGUCGCAGCCCCGGACCAAGGCGCCCGCCGGAGGACCAACCAAAACUCUUUUUGUAUACCCCCUCGCGGGUUUUUUAUAAUCUGAGCCUUCUCGGCGCCUCUCGUAGGCGUUUCGAAAAUGAAUCAAAACUUUCAACAACGGAUCUCUUGGUUCUGGCAUCGAUGAAGAACGCAGCGAAAUGCGAUAAGUAAUGUGAAUUGCAGAAUUCAGUGAAUCAUCGAAUCUUUGAACGCACAUUGCGCCCGCCAGUAUUCUGGCGGGCAUGCCUGUCCGAGCGUCAUUUCAACCCUCGAACCCCUCCGGGGGGUCGGCGUUGGGGAUCGGCCCUCCCUUAGCGGGUGGCCGUCUCCGAAAUACAGUGGCGGUCUCGCCGCAGCCUCUCCUGCGCAGUAGUUUGCACACUCGCAUCGGGAGCGCGGCGCGUCCACAGCCGUUAAACACCCAACUUCUGAAAUGUUGACCUCGGAUCAGGUAGGAAUACCCGCUGAACUUAAGCAUAUCAAUAAGCGGAGGAAAA